GAUGAACGCUGGCGGCGUGCCUAAUACAUGCAAGUCGAGCGAACAGAUGAGGAGCUUGCUCCUCUGACGUUAGCGGCGGACGGGUGAGUAACACGUGGAUAACCUACCUAUAAGACUGGGAUAACUUCGGGAAACCGGAGCUAAUACCGGAUAAUAUAUUGAACCGCAUGGUUCAAUAGUGAAAGACGGUUUUGCUGUCACUUAUAGAUGGAUCCGCGCCGCAUUAGCUAGUUGGCAAGGUAACGGCUUACCAAGGCAACGAUGCGUAGCCGACCUGAGAGGGUGAUCGGCCACACUGGAACUGAGACACGGUCCAGACUCCUACGGGAGGCAGCAGUAGGGAAUCUUCCGCAAUGGGCGAAAGCCUGACGGAGCAACGCCGCGUGAGUGAUGAAGGUCUUCGGAUCGUAAAACUCUGUUAUUAGGGAAGAACAAAUGUGUAAGUAACUAUGCACGUCUUGACGGUGCCUAAUCAGAAAGCCACGGCUAACUACGUG
This 497-nucleotide ribosomal RNA is filed under the name uncultured bacterium. RNAcentral describes it as "partial 16S ribosomal RNA". It matches the Rfam family "Bacterial small subunit ribosomal RNA", at positions 28 to 507 of the family's 1533-position model. The record is from RNAcentral.